UGCCGAAACCCGGGAUCGAACCAGGGACCUUUAGAUAUCCAGUCUAACGCUCUCCUAGCUGAGAUAUUUCGGC
Molecule: transfer RNA, 73 nt
Filed under: Cordylochernes scorpioides
Lineage: Eukaryota; Metazoa; Arthropoda; Arachnida; Pseudoscorpiones; Chernetidae
Description: tRNA-Ser
Source: RNAcentral